This 256-nucleotide ribosomal RNA is filed under the name uncultured bacterium. Its description in RNAcentral is "partial 16S ribosomal RNA". It matches the Rfam family "Bacterial small subunit ribosomal RNA", at positions 524 to 777 of the family's 1533-position model. The record is from RNAcentral.
UACGGAGGGUGCGAGCGUUGUCCGGAUUUAUUGGGCGUAAAGAGCGUGUAGGCGGUCAGGGUAGGUCCGUUGUGAAAACUCGAGGCUCAACCUCGAGACGCCGAUGGAAACCAUCUGACUAGAGUCCGGAAGAGGAGAGUGGAAUUCCUGGUGUAGCGGGUGAAAUGCGCAGAUAUCAGGAAGAACACCCGUGGCUAAGGCGGCUCUCUAGUACGGUACUGACGCUGAGACGCGAAAGCGUGGGGAGCGAACAGGG